GAAAUAUACCAUCAUAUCAUUUAAAAUGCAUGUUUUGAUUUAACGACAAACAAAAUUAAUUGAUUAAAAAAUUAACAGAUAAUUUUGUUAUUAUAUUUUUAGUUAAAAAGUUUGUCUGAAUUAUGUUAAAGAGUUUCACACUAAAAACCCUAAUGUUUACUUCAUAUAUAUUUUAAUUCACUAUUAUUAACACGAUGCAUGUACCUAAAUUUAGUUAUUAGUUACAAAAUUCAUCAAAGGUUUGAGUAUAAAGAUUUAUAGCCCAUGCAAACAUUGUGUAACUUUUUAAUGAUAUAUUAGAAAUUUAAAAUACUGUUACAAUUUGUGUUAAUGUAGAUAAGAAGUAUGAAAAAGCAACAAUGAUUUCAUAGAAAGGCAUAUACAAUACAACUUAGUUAAUAAACAUAAUCAAGGCAAUUGUAUUAACACAAUGGCAGGAAAAAAGCUUUUUAACGUUAUACUGAAAUAAUUUAGAGUCACAUAAUUCAUGUUAGCGAUAAUCAAAAAGUACAAUAUUCCCCCAUAUUUCAGCCGAUUUUAGUGUGCUUUGGUGGCACUAAAGAAUCUUAAUGUGCGACAAUGCGACACAUAUACAAAGCCUGACUAAUCAUGUCGAAUCUGUGUAAUUACAAGAUUAACCAAAUACUGAGGACAUAUUAGUCAUUCGACUAUAUGAUAACUAUAAUGUAUCCAUUGAACUAGAUAUUUUGGUUGUGUUAAAAUAUAGGCUGAACUACGGCAAUGGAGAAGAAGCUGUAAUUAACGUCGAAACCGUGGGCAAUAAAAAUAUAUUGAUAUACAAAAAAUAGUAAGAUAUAUCGCUUUCUUCGUUAGUUGAUGACAAAUUACAAUUAACACAUCAAAGUCCAAUAAUCGAUAUAUCUUGCUGUAAUAAUAAUAAGUAGUUAUUAACGAUAAAGUAUAUAAGAAAAAUGAAGAAAAGUUUGAGGAAUUUUCUAAUUUCAAGUUGUAACAAAAUUAGGUUAGUUUAUUAAUUUUUCUGUGGCCUCCUUUGUUCCAAUGAAAAUUCGACACGUAUGAUUCCUAGUGGAAGAAAUAUUCACACGUGGCAAUCGAGACAUGGGACCCAUAUUAUCGCCACAGAAGGUAACAAAUUUAUGACGUGGAAAUAGAUGGCCGGGUGGGUGUGGAAAAAAAAGCUUUACGUUUCAGAUGUCAUAUGUCACGCUUUUGAUAUUGAGAUAAUCGCUCCACCAGAAAAAAAUUAAUAAAAAUUAAAUUUUAGGAAACAAACAAAUCGACCCAUUUCAUGUGAGUUUUAGGUCGAUUACUUUAUUGUUACUUUAUUCUAACAAUAUUUCUUGAUUUUCCAACGUCACAUAAAAUAAUUAUGACUGCAUAGUUUAUAGAUAACCAUGCAUAUUUCUCGACCACUAAAAGUCUAAAAUUUUUUUUGUUUGUCAACAGUCUAAAAUACUUAUGGUGUGCACAUAUUUAUUACUUUUCAUACUUAUUUUGAUUUAUCAUUUUUCUAGGAAGGGUUUUCGUAUGACUUUUCAGUUUUGAUAUCGGACCUUCAGAUUCUUACAAGUUCAAAAUAUUAGAUAGUUUUGUUUGGUAAAUACUAAUAGCAAUAUUAUUUUAUUUAACAUCUUUUUUUUGCUAUGAACUUAAUCAUAUACAAUCUCAGCAAGUGAUUACAAAAGAGAAGGGAACACUAAUCAACCAGAAACAAUCAGAUCAUUCACUUCGAGUUUAGAGGUUAAGAAAUAGCACUUAUAUCCGCUUGCCCCUCGGUUUCCACGUCCUCGGUUCCUCAAAAUUGAUUUACUUCCUCUGUUUUUUAUUUCUUUGAAAAUUUACUUCCUUUGUUUUUGUUAAUCUAGUUUACAUUUUAUUUAUGUUCUAAUUUACAUAUAUCAAGUGAAGAUUUAGAUUUAAAUUUUUAAUUUACAAAUGAGCCAAUGAGGCCACCUUUAAUAUCACAAGUAUUACAUUACCUUUUUUUCUAAAUCAAAAAUUUAAAACUUAAAGAGUCCCAAAGUAAAGUACAAAUGUCAUGAGUUUUCAAAAUCCUCAAAAAUAAAUUAUUUUAUAUAUUUUCUAGAAAAAUUGUUAAAUAAUUUUCUAAACAAAAUAAAAUAUUAAUAUUUUUUUGAAAAAGUUAAAAUAUAUAGUUAUAUUCAAAAAAUCUGUUAUAUUUUUUAAAAAAAUAAUUGAUAACAUUAAAUGGUGGUAUUGGUUCUUUUGAUACAAAUUAAUUUAUAAUUUGUCCCUCAUACAUUUUAAUUUCUGUAUUAUAUAUGAAGUGUUUUACAACAAACUAUCAAUGAACUGAAAUUGUUUCUUUUUUCAUAAUCAAACAAAGACAAUCAUAUAUCCCCACUUUUGUCUUUUGGAGCACUUAGAUUUAAAAUGAAAAAAAUAAAGAACGAAAAAUGCUCAUUAAAAAAAACGAGAAAUGUGGCCCAUAUUUUACACACGGUACCAACUCAAAUAAAUGCUUGCCUCUAAUUAGUUAAUCUAAUUACAUUAUUUCUUAGUCAAGAUCAUUAUUCAAUACUCGAGAGACAUCCUAUUUGCAUUCACAGAGAUUUCUAGUGCUUUACAUGGGUGCACACCAUCUCCUUUUUCUUUCUAACUUUCAGAAUCUCAACACAACCCACACACAUCCCGCCCGAUCUAUUUACUAUCGAACCCAUAGUCAUAAGAAAACUGUAAUAUGUUGUCUGUUACCUUUAACAAAUACGCGAAACUAUUUCCAAGUGUUAUCAACAUAUAAAAAUUUGGAAUGAUAAAUAAGCCAGAUUUAUAACGAUUUUAUCGUCCAAGCACAAUACUCAAAACUAUAUAUGAUAGGCAUAGACUGAAACAUGGAUAGGGCGAAAACACAUGUUCAAACCCCUUAAUAAGCGAGAUGCUAGGAUGAUUCGAACAAACGAGAUUAUUUCAAGAACAUAUGUAGGUUGGUAAAUUUCACCCUUCUAUAAGGUAUAUAAUAUGGGUAAACCUAACUUAAAAUUUUAUACUAUAUCUUAUGCUUUCCCCAUUAAGAAAAACUAUACGUAGAAAAACGACCUACUUUCAAAUGAUCCAAUGUGUAAGCUUUUGUAAAAAUAGCUUUCAGUUCACCAUGUGAUACAAUACUUUUAUGCCAGUUACAAAAAUAUCUAAACCAACUUAAAUUCCAUAUUUACACGGUCUUAUGUUACGUGACAAGCACAAACAUCGGACAAUUAUCAAACAUUUUGAUACUAUUUUACCUAGCUUAAAAACAUAUUAUGUCAUAUGAUUGUAAGCAUUAUCUGGAACUCUGCCGAUGGUUUCACUUCCCUAAACAUAGAAAAAACUAUUUGUAGUUUUGUAUUGUAUUUACUGUCCUCUAUUUGUUUCACAGUCAUUCAAACUAUAAGGUUCUAGUAUGUGAUGAUGUCUUGUAUUGUAAUUACAUAGAUCUAUAUGAUGCCAUCCAAAGUUCCUUACGGAGCCAGCCAAGACGAUAUCUAGACUCUCAAUCGUUCACAACACCUUUUGAGUUAUAUUUUUAGUUACGAAUUAGGUUUCUAGCUAGUCGAUGGUCACGUAGUAUAUAUCUUAGAGACAUGCAUGGUCCUUAGAACUUAACUAGAACUAGAUUUUAACCCGUAAACCCGCAUGGAUGUUUAAUUUAAUAUUUAUCUAAUUUAAUUUUUUUAAUAGGAUUGAAUAUAUAUAUAUAUAUUUAUAUAUACUUAUUUAUUUAUUUAUUUAAAAAAAUUGCCACUAUUAAAUAUUUGUUUAAUGUAUUUUGAACACAAAAAAUUUGUAGCGAAUUCAGUAGACAAUCUAAUUAAUUAAUUAGAUUCUAUAGCAUUUUAAAUUUUAAGAAUAUGAUAAAGAUAUACAAUGUAUAAUAUAGUAAAGUGUGAUUUUGAAGUAUAUAUAUAUUAUUGUUAUUAAUGUGAUAGCUUAAUUUAGGGGUUUGUUAUGUUAAGUUAGUCAGAUAUUCAAUUAUUUUAGGAAUACAUAGUUGAUUUCUUAUCUAUAGGAAAUUAUUAAUUCUUGUUUUAAUUCUAUGUCCAACUAAAUCCAUAGGAAAUAUAUCAAAUCGUUGAUUUUUUUGUUUGAAAAGAAAUUGAAUAAAUUUACAAUUAAUACAAACUUAAACCAAAUGUUUUUUAAAUUGUAUCUAAUUCAUGUUACAUAUAUAAUCUGGUUUAGUGAUGUUCUCAUCAAUUACAUUUACUAAAGUUUUUUUCUAAUGAAUUUUAAUGUUAAUUCAAUUAGAUGUUGACACUUGAUUUAAAACUUUUGGUUUACUAAUAUAGACAAAUGAUUUUAUGCAGAGACUAGGAUUGUGGCGCAAUGAAGAUGAAAUCUAUUUUAUGGUCUUAAAAAAUACAAAUUAUAUUAGUGGGUAACCAAACAUUAAUGGGCUUGUUAUUUAUUUCCUAUUGUAAUAUGGCGUGAAAGUUUACUGACUAUCUUCAGUGGUUCAUUCUAUUUUUCACUCUAAAAUAUAAUAACUUUGUAAUAGUGUUGUAAUAUACUUUAAUGGUACUCUAUUUUAAAAUGAAAAAUAGAGCGAUGAAAUUUUUUUUUUACUCUAUAUAUAGAGUAAAUCUAUUUUUUACUCUAUUAUAGAUGGAAAAAUAGAGUACUAUUAGGGCAUUUUUACUAUAAACUCUAUUUUAGAAUGGAAAAUAGAGUUGGGUUAGAGAUGUUUUAAUAAUUAGAAAAAGUGUAGAAAAUUAUCAGUGACAUUUGACUGUGAAUAUUUAGAGAAAAUAAGGGGUCAAUUCAAAUUUGUACUUAUGUUUUAAUAGUUUAGAUGAUUUAAAUGUUUUUAUUUUCAACUUGUUGUUUAAUUUGGAUCCUAUUUCAAAAAUCGGAAGGAUAUAUAUAUGUCUCUAUAUAUAUACUCUCGAUCUUUUUUUUUUACAGCAAAUAUUUACAUAUUCAUAUUGACUCUGUAAACCAAGGUGGUAACUCUGCAUCCAUUCACAUACUCUCGAUCUUAUUUGGAUCUUUGCUGGAUGUUCUAAUUUAUGAGGACAAUUAGUCUGGUAAAUGAGAAUCUUCAAAGAUAUAUAUAACGAGGCAUAUAUCAUAUAUAAUUUUCCGGUAUAUUAUAUAUAUAUAUAUAUAUAGUUUUCCGGUAUAUUAUUUUCAACGUGUUGUGUUCACCAAAGUGAUUAAGCUGUGCCAAAAGUAUGUUCUAAAAGCGGGCCGGGUUAGGGUUCCUAAUUCAGCUUCUCUAGAAAAUAUGAUAUUCUCUUUACUUGUUUUCUUCUUUAUUUCAAAGUUUUAAACGUUUAUUUUUAUUCGUUUGUAAGUUCACAAUAAUAAAUUAUAACGUGUAGAAAAAAAAAGAAUAUACUAGACUAAAGUUGGAGAUUAAAUGAAGAAUUUACUAAAAACUGGGAUAAAUUUAUGUAAUCAACUUCCAAUGGAGAAGGCUAAAGUUCUUCAUCACCCACACAACACAUGACCACUCUGUACUUUCCAUUGAAGUAACGAUCAUUGAUCAGUCUCUGAUUAGUUUUAGUUUAAAAAACAAAUUGAAUCAUUAAAGAGUAUUUGUACUCCCUACACACAGCUUUCCCCUUAUUUGCACUUCCUAUCUUAUUUCCCUUCAAUUUUUUUCCCUCAUCACUACCAUUUUUCCCCAAUUCAAUGGUAUCCCAUUCUUUUCAGUAUAUUGAGCUAAUUUGCUCAUCAUUAAAUAAACCAAUAUGAAUUAAACGCAAGACAAAAGAGAUAUAGUGUAAACGCAAAAAAAAAAGAAGGAGAUAUAGUGUAAACCCAAUGUGUUAUUAGAUAGAAGUGAUUCCCGGCGUCCCCUUUAAAGGUUUCACCCAAAAUCCCAACACGGUUCUGUCUUAUCGUCCUUUUUUUGUUAAAUGUUUUAUCGUCUCAUGCAUACAUAUAACAAAUGUUAUCAAUACUUUUUUUUGACCAAAUAAUUAUAUGUAUUCUGUUACUUUUUAAAUUACUAACCGCCCGUAAAGCGGGCUAUCCCUAGUAUAUAUAUAUAUCACAGUUUUAAAACGCCGGCUAGGCGCUUUUCUAAAUGCUACUCGGACAUCAUCCGUCAUGAUUUUUUUCGAAUCGGAUAAUAAAAUCGGCAUCCAGUUAAUCGGCGCAAAAACCAACUAAUCGGCCCAAUAAACCCAUUAGUCUGCCCAAAUUUUAAAUUAUAAAGAUUUUUUAGGUUUUACAGGAAAGCCCAAUACCUUAAUGUUAUCAAUACUUACAUCAUUUUCUCCUAAUAAACAUAUGCAUCUAGUUCUUAUAAUCAAUAUAUAAAGUACAUUUUCCAGCAUAUAUCCAAAGUAUUUAUUAAGAUAUUUUUAUUAAAAAGACAAAUACAGUUCUUCACUAUUUCUUAUAGUUUAAAUCAUCAUUUUUACAAUUUUAUGCUGUAUCAUCAAUACCAAUUUACAAAUCACUUAAUUUUGAACAAACAUAAUUAUGGUUUAUGUUCUGUCAACAAUAUAUAUAUAUAUAUCAUUGUAUUUCAUCUAUGAUAUAUUUUCUCAGAGAGGACACACGGAUUAAACGUAUAACUGAUGUAAAUCAAUACAAUACUAAAAGUUGAAUAAGAUAAACAUCUAAACUGUCCACAUAUGACUAAAAAAUCAACCAAUAGAAAAGAGUUAUUUUACCAUGUCAUAUGAGCUUUGUUCGAAAAUGAUAAUUAUCGAGACUUUCGUGUGGGCUUAUGAUAUUUGGCCCAGUCAAACCCACUUCUGGAAAUGGCUCACAAACUUUCUCUUCUCAGUUUCGGAUCCUUGGAAAUCUCCGUUACACGCAACACCUUUAUCAAUCAAUUAUCUUUUACUCUUUUCUUUAUGGUCUCAUUUCACCUCCCUAUUAUCUUCUCCUAUAAAAAUCGUUUCUUCCAAACUUUAAUUCAACCAAAAUUGAAAGCUACGGCCAUGAGAAAUAAAUAAUUCAGAGUCUCUUGCUCUUCCUCUACUCUUCGUACCCGGUAAUCAAACCCCACAGUAUUCAUAGCUAUAGGAACGGCGAAAUCCACCGCCACAGCCCCGACUUAAUUUUAUAAGGAUGUGAUCGUUUACCACCAAGUUUGCUUGCUUACAUGGUUGCAGCUUCAUAACUCGUGCCAUGUUUGUCAUACGAGUUCAUGACUCAUGGAGGUCAGACCAGUGGGGAAGACAGACAACAAACGGUUGAGAGUUCGCCGACUCCGAGGAGGUUUAGUUUAUCAUAUCCAUGGCCACUCAAGAGACAUGAUACAAAUUAGGAUUCUGGGAGUGGAUCUGAUAUCGAUACUACGUAGGAUGAAUUGGAUUGAGAAAUUCAUGGAAUACAAUGAAAUUCUCAAAACAUUUGAAGAUCAAGAGAAGUUAAAAGAGGUUUGACCUUCAAAUGCUAGCAAGAAGGCGGAUCAAUGGGUAGCUUUUCGAAUAUACUCUGUAGACAUUCCUUUUACCUGUUCUCCUCUCCAAUAUUUGUGUUGCCACUUGCCAGUGGCCCAGUGUUAACAAUGGUGGCUUCCCUAAACCCACGUCUGUUAUUCUCCUCAACUAACAAAAUGUGUUUCAUGUAGCAUAUGAAGCACUGAAUUUUUCUCAGGGUUAUGGAAAUGGGGAAGAAGCUUGCAGGGAGGAUAAGGAGCAAAGGGCCUUACAUUGUCCUGAGUGUAUCUAAUUUUGGCUUUGAAAAUUCAUUUUCUACACCGAAGAAAAGAAGAAGCCAGUGACUGUUUUAACGUUUUGUUAUCUUCUAAGCUCUGUAAAUGUUUAUAAAACUGGUGUUUUGAUGAUUAUGUGCCUCACAUUGUUUUUGUUUUUAUGGAUAGGGUGAAUCACAGCUCACUGAAUAAAAAAAAUACCCAACUCCGUAUUUUCGAAUGGUCUUACAUAACUGUCUCCAGUGGGAUCAGUGGCCUUAUGCUACUGUCGAUAUACUACAGAUUCCACCAACGCCAUAUCUACAAAGCCAAAAAGGAGGAAGAUGAACAUGACAACUUGAAGCCAGCCUCUAUCGCUGGGGGUGGAAACUGCAGCAAAUCAUAGUAGACACUACAAGGUUGAAGCAAAAGAAGUUUUCUUUUCUGUUACAAAGCUUUCCCAAUCUAAAGACACUGGUUUGGGAGAGAACGGUUUACUUGAUCAUAAAGGAACUUUCUCCAUCAGCUGAUAAGGUUCAUAGUUUGUAAUUUGCUUAGGUGGCUGAAUCCUAAUACCAAUACUGAAGUAGGGAUGUUUAAAUGAAGAUAGAAUCUAACAAGUCAGUGUCGGAGGUUAAUAAUGAAAUUGAGAGUGAGGAUGGUAGUGAAUAGGUUUGUAGUUGAUCAUUUUAAAUUACGUUUCAUUGUGUAUAAUCAAAUUCAUGAUGAGAACGGUGACCAAGGUUGAAAUUUGUAGCAUAAGUACAGAUGGUUGAUCUCUUUGUCUUCUUUAUGUUUUCGUAAAAUUGUUAUGGGAAUGAUUAAAAGAGAGUGUUUUUCUUUAUUAUUCUCUUUGUUUUAAAACUUCACAAAAUGUUUUAUUCCCUACAUAAUUUAGAUUCUUAUUUUAUAAAUUUGUGAUCUCAUAUUUCUAUUUUGACAUGUGAUCAAUUCAAAUAAAAUUGUAGACGAAAAUUGAUAAAUUAAAUUGAUUUAUUUGGCCAAGAUAAUGUCAUUGUUUCAAACUCAUGCCCAAUUCUAAAUUUACACAUUUCUAACAAAUUAUAUAUAAUAUCCUUUUCUAUAUAAAUUAUCAAAAAAAAGCAAAAAAUUAGUGAUAAAGCAGUAUAAGGAAUUGUAUUAAUCUUUGAUGAUGCAAUUAAAUAAAACAUAAAAUAUUCAGAAAUUUACCAAGUAUAGCUAUAAAAUAGUAAUAAUUAAUAAAUAAAAUAAAUAAAAACUAAUUUCAAUUUGCAACGAAGUAAGAAAAAAAUAAAAAAAUAAGGAUUAUAAAAUGAAAAAAUAAAGAGGAAAUAAACACACAAAUUUAUUACUUCAAUGUAUACGUGAAUAAGUUUGAACCAAGAUGAGUCUACUUUUUUGCUACCAAAAUUGUUUUCAAGCAAAUAGUAAACAAUAAAUCUAUCAAAUUAAAAAAAUAAAUUAUUAAUUAUAUUUUUAAUUUAUAUAAAAUUUAAAACUAAACAUAAUAUACGUAUAUAUAUAUAAUUAAGAACAUAUAUUAAGGAUUUUUGAUGUAUAUAUCAUGCAUUCCCAUUAUAGUAUUUUUUUUACAAAUGGUAAUACAUUCUAACAUCAUCUUCACAUAACAUUCAAAUCACCCAAGAAACCACAAUAAUUCUAUUAAGAAAAUAUACCCAAAAUACAUUCAUACAUCUUAUGGUGAAACUUGCAAUCAACUGUUAUGUCUAGCCACUUACAAACACAUUCCUAUUAGAUUGUUUUAUAAAUAAAUUUUGUGUUUACUUAUUUAAAUUUAAAAAUAGAAAAUGUUUUUGAUUUUAAAGGUCCAUCCUAAUAUUAUUGAGAAAAUACACAUAACAAAAAAACAUUUAACACAAAAAAAAACUAAUUACAAAAACAUAUUUCGUUAUAGGUUUGCUUUUCUAGAAGUACAAAAAAAAUAUAUAAAUAGAAAGAAAAAUUACAAAAAAUGUUUUAAUCUUGAAAUAUCUCACAUCGAACUUUUAUACAUUUCUUAAUAUGAAAUGGCCAAAUAAUAAAUUUUGACAAUUUCAAAGCAUAUAAUAGGAAAUAUAAAUUAACUUGAUAACAAUCACUAAUCCAAAUUAAACAUAUAUAAAGCUGAAUGGAAAAUAAAUUUCAUUAUCAUGUUUGAUUUUUUAAAACAUUACAGAAAUUAUUAUUCACCUCAACAUUUAAAAUAAAAUAUUAUUCUUACUUUACUUAAGAUAGUCACAUUAAUCCACUCAGAAGCUAAUAAAAACAUAUAUUACAUAGAAGACUAAUGUCACGUUCAAAAAGCAACAACAUGUACCUUAAAAAAA
Brassica rapa (field mustard) is the source of this 9888-nucleotide long non-coding RNA. RefSeq lists it as uncharacterized. The record is from RefSeq and is a predicted model, not a curated record. NCBI's taxonomy places the organism in Eukaryota, Viridiplantae, Streptophyta, Magnoliopsida, Brassicales, Brassicaceae.